This 459-nucleotide ribosomal RNA is filed under the name uncultured bacterium. RNAcentral describes it as "partial 16S ribosomal RNA". It matches the Rfam family "Bacterial small subunit ribosomal RNA", at positions 338 to 795 of the family's 1533-position model. The record is from RNAcentral.
CCUACGGGAGGCAGCAGUGAGGAAUAUUGGUCAAUGGCCGCAACUCUGAACCAGCCAAGUAGCGUGCGGGAUGACGGCCCUAUGGGUUGUAAACUGCUUUUAUCGGGGGACAAACUGAGUCACGUGUGACUUAUUGCAAGUACCGCAUGAAUAAGGACCGGCUAACUCCGUGCCAGCAGCCGCGGUAAUACGGAGGGUGCGGGCGUUAUCCGGAUUUAUUGGGUUUAAAGGGUGCGCAGGCGGAGGUGCAAGUCAGCGGUAAAAUUGAGGGGCGCAACCUCGUACUGCCGUUGAAACUGCGGCUCUGGAGUGCGCGAGAGGUACGCGGAAUGCGUGGUGUAGCGGUGAAAUGCAUAGAUAUCACGCAGAACUCCGAUUGCGAAGGCAGCAUACCGGCGCGCAACUGACGCUGAUGCACGAAAGCGUGGGGAUCGAACAGGAUUAGAUACCCCUGUAGUC